This 610-nucleotide ribosomal RNA is filed under the name uncultured bacterium. RNAcentral describes it as "bacterial SSU rRNA". It matches the Rfam family "Bacterial small subunit ribosomal RNA", at positions 338 to 951 of the family's 1533-position model. The record is from RNAcentral.
CCUACGGGAGGCAGCAGUAGGGAAUAUUGGACAAUGGACGCAAGUCUGAUCCAGCCAUCCCGCGUGAAGGAUUAAGGCCCUAUGGGUUGUAAACUUCUUUUCUUUGGGAAUAAAAAGCGGUAUUCAUAUCGCCUUGAAGGUACCAGAGGAAUAAGCACCGGCUAACUCCGUGCCAGCAGCCGCGGUAAUACGGAGGGUGCAAGCGUUAUCCGGAUUCACUGGGUUUAAAGGGUGCGUAGGUGGCUUUGUAAGUCAGCGGUGAAAGCCUGGAGCUCAACUCCAGAAUUGCCAUUGAUACUGCAGAGCUUGAAUCAAGUUGAGGUGGAUGGAAUAUUACAUGUAGCGGUGAAAUGCUUAGAUAUGUAAUAGAACACCGAUUGCGAAGGCAGUUCACUAAGCUUGUAUUGACACUGAGGCACGAAAGCGUGGGGAUCAAACAGGAUUAGAUACCCUGGUAGUCCACGCCCUAAACGAUGCAAACUCGACAUUAGCGAUAUACAGUUAGUGUCCAAGCGAAAGCGUUAAGUUUGCCACCUGGAAGUACGACCGCAAGGUUGAAACUCAAAGGAAUUGACGGCUGAGACGAGCGAGACGACGACGAGGGAGGAGG